RNAcentral lists this transfer RNA (86 nucleotides) under Brevundimonas sp. MF30-B. RNAcentral's name for it is "tRNA-Leu". It matches the Rfam family "tRNA". From Rfam's summary of the family: Transfer RNA (tRNA) molecules are approximately 80 nucleotides in length. Their secondary structure includes four short double-helical elements and three loops (D, anti-codon, and T loops). The record is from RNAcentral. Lineage: Bacteria; Pseudomonadati; Pseudomonadota; Alphaproteobacteria; Caulobacterales; Caulobacteraceae. RNAcentral also lists the same sequence under 1 other name.
GCGGGCGUGGCGAAACUGGUAGACGCAACGGACUUAAAAUCCGUCGGGCCUGGCCCGUGCCGGUUCGACCCCGGCCGCCCGCACCA